RNAcentral lists this transfer RNA (74 nucleotides) under Glycomyces rutgersensis. RNAcentral describes it as "tRNA-Arg". It matches the Rfam family "tRNA". Rfam says of the family: Transfer RNA (tRNA) molecules are approximately 80 nucleotides in length. RNAcentral also lists the same sequence under 6 other names. Lineage: Bacteria; Bacillati; Actinomycetota; Actinomycetes; Glycomycetales; Glycomycetaceae. The record is from RNAcentral.
GCCCCCGUAGCUCAGGGGAUAGAGCGUCGGUUUCCUAAACCGUGCGUCGCAGGUUCGAAUCCUGCCGGGGGCAC